AUGAGAAAUACCGCAACUCCCAACGACCACGCUCCCUACCAGUUUCUGAACGGAAACCGCCGCUUUGCGCGUUCAGAUCUCCAACCGUCCUCGAUUCCACUGCACGACCAACCUUUAUGCAUCCUAUCAAGAAAGAUCCUACAAAAUCGUGUGAAUUAUGUUGAAAAUAUGAAAUUUGUUGUUUUGGUUUUCUUAAGUGAAGAGAAAGAAGGCAUCGAGAGAUGA
Vicia faba (fava bean) is the source of this 225-nucleotide non-coding RNA. Lineage: Eukaryota; Viridiplantae; Streptophyta; Magnoliopsida; Fabales; Fabaceae. The record is from the annotation of a GenBank genome assembly.